Molecule: ribosomal RNA, 569 nt
Filed under: uncultured bacterium
Lineage: Bacteria
Description: bacterial SSU rRNA
Rfam family: Bacterial small subunit ribosomal RNA
Source: RNAcentral
AGAGUUUGAUCCUGGCUCAGAUUGAACGCUGGCGGCAUGCCUUACACAUGCAAGUCGAACGGUAACGCGGGGCAACCUGGCGACGAGUGGCGAACGGGUGAGUAAAGCAUCGGAACGUGCCCAGUAGUGGGGGAUAGCCCGGCGAAAGCCGGAUUAAUACCGCAUACGACCUACGGGUGAAAGGGGGGGAUCGCAAGACCUCUCGCUAUUGGAGCGGCCGAUGUCAGAUUAGCUAGUCGGUGGGGUAAAGGCCUACCAAGGCGACGAUCUGUAGCUGGUCUGAGAGGACGACCAGCCACACUGGGACUGAGACACGGCCCAGACUCCUACGGGAGGCAGCAGUGGGGAAUUUUGGACAAUGGACGAAAGUCUGAUCCAGCCAUGCCGCGUGCGGGAAGAAGGCCUUCGGGUUGUAAACCGCUUUUGUCAGGGAAGAAAUCUUCUGGGUUAAUACCUCGGGAGGAUGACGGUACCUGAAGAAUAAGCACCGGCUAACUACGUGCCAGCAGCCGCGGUAAUACGUAGGGUGCAAGCGUUAAUCGGAAUUACUGGGCGUAAAGCGUGCGCAU